Carica papaya (papaya) is the source of this 1179-nucleotide non-coding RNA. Lineage: Eukaryota; Viridiplantae; Streptophyta; Magnoliopsida; Brassicales; Caricaceae. The record is from RefSeq and is a predicted model, not a curated record.
CACUCCCUCGACCCAAACUUAGUGUUUAAAAUGGAUGAGGCUGAAAAACUUUUGCUUUGUGCCUCAAAAAUCAAAUGGUAUAUUUGAAAGUAACUGUCUGAAAUAUUUCCAGUUAGAAUGACAAUUGUUUCCUUAUAUGUUGCUGCCACAUGCACAUUUCCUUGUGAAAUGCAAUAGUCUGCUUACCUUAUUGCUGACAAUAAUUUGCAUCUUCUGUUCUCUAUGUUUCUUGGUUCACUUGACUGGAUUUGGUGUUUUUUACAGCGCUCACGUUAUGACCUUGAGGAAGAGAUGAGGAAUGCCCAAAAGAAACGUAAUGGAGGCAGUGCAUCCAGAGCAUAUGGAGAUACCCAAGAUUUUCCAUCUGAAAGAAGUGGUAAUAGGCGGAAUUGGAGAGAAGUAUGGAGUUCAUAUGGCAAUAUGCACUCCAAGGGGUCGGCAGCAAGCUGUUCAAACAGAUACAUGUGACAAAUUCAUGCAUACUGUGGUACAAGUUUUUGGGAUUUAGGUAUGAUCUGGGAUCAAGUGAAUGUUGGAUAUUUUCAGAUAUCUGUAUUUGAAGCCUCUUCACUUCCAGCAUAUGGGAAAUGACUCUGGCCACUGUUCAAGGGAUUGGAAACAAUUUGGUUAACAACUUGAAGAAGCGAGAAAUGUGUGGUUUUACCCAUGCUCUAAAAUGAUAUUUGGGUCUGGCAUGGGUGGACACUAUUCUUCGUGCACAGCCAAGAAGUCUGUUGACCCUUGUCACCGCAACUUGUGUUCCAGUCACUACUGGGGCUAUGCACGAGCACUGAAGGAGCCAGUUGAUGAAGUUAUUGGAUAUCGGAUUUCAGAGCAUUUGUCUUCUGUAUUGUUGGUAGGACAAAUUAUCUCCAUCGGGCGGCUUCACGCCACUGCAAAGUAGCCGAUCCUGACAUCUCACGAGGUCUCACCAAGGUGUUGGCGAGGGCUGCAAGGUGGCCAUUGGAGACUUCUAGAAUGACUUUUAUGUCCUACUUCUGAGAGCCUGCAGGAUUGAUUGAUUGGUUUGGAUAAUUUUGUAAAACUUCACUAUCUCUUGCUCACAAGGGAGAGAUUGUUGCCAAUCCUUACACUACAAACACUGUAAACCUGUAUAUAAUCAUGAAGUAUUGCAGGGAGACAAGGUUGUUAAAUAAAAUGGAGCUCAUAUACAUCAAA